This is a long non-coding RNA of Galeopterus variegatus (Sunda flying lemur), 531 nucleotides long. RefSeq lists it as uncharacterized. The transcript is spliced from 3 exons. The record is from RefSeq and is a predicted model, not a curated record. Lineage: Eukaryota; Metazoa; Chordata; Mammalia; Dermoptera; Cynocephalidae.
AAAAAGCCCUGUGAUUUUACCUCAGUGUUUCCAGCCUCCAUGAACAGACUUUGGCUGGUAAGGAUCAACAGAAGAUCCAGGUUAUGGCUUCACCAGACCCAAUUGCAAGGUAGCUGCAAGUAUCCAAAUUCUGCUGAUCAUCCAGGUUCUGUGCAAGCAUCAUCUACUCUACAAAGCCUUCUGUUAUCAUUCUAGUUCUCAACAACACUUCCUUCUCUGAACAAGACUAGAACUGUAGGACACUAGAAGGUGUUGUGUGAGAAAUCCACACAGGAGCAACCCAAGAAAACCAUGCAGAUAAAUGCUAGACUGGCAAGACACAGAGCAAGCAUGCCAAGUGGUGCCCACAGCCAGAGCUUGGGAGCCAAACUUUGGAAGGUACCUGCUCGCCGAUGCACUUCUACUUUGGAGCCCUUCUACAGAUUAUACAAGUGGCACCCAAUAGUGAAGGUUUGAAUUCAAGGUUGCCAAGCAGCAAUUUCAGAUAGGGCCUCCUUGCCUUUGGAAAAUAAAUGGGAAACUGACUCAAGC